Molecule: ribosomal RNA, 216 nt
Filed under: Glomeromycotina sp.
Lineage: Eukaryota; Fungi; Glomeromycota
Description: partial small subunit ribosomal RNA
Rfam family: Eukaryotic small subunit ribosomal RNA (bases 40-216)
Source: RNAcentral
GGGUCAUUAGGUUGUUCGUGCCACCGGUACGUACUGGUCUCACUGAUUCCUCCUUCCUGAAGAACCGUAAUGCCAUUAAUUUGGUGUUGCGGGGAAACAGGACUGUUACUUUGAAAAAAUUAGAGUGUUUAAAGCAAGCUAACGCUUGAAUACAUUAGCAUGGAAUAAUGAAAUAGGACGAUCGAUCCUAUUUUGUUGGUUUCUAGGAUUGACGUA